Molecule: RNA transcript, 3215 nt
Organism: Myxocyprinus asiaticus (Chinese sucker)
Lineage: Eukaryota; Metazoa; Chordata; Actinopteri; Cypriniformes; Catostomidae
Exons: 3
Source: RefSeq, a predicted model, not a curated record
UUCAUUUCAGAAACCUUUUUAACUUCCUGGGACACCCCCCACAGGUUUACUUCUGAGUCAUGCAAAAUCAGUUUUGGACUGGGUCACUGAAUGUAUUUGGCAUCGUGCUAUAGUGUCAAACUCUCUCAAAGGUUUCCCCUUUAAGAUUUUAACCAGAUUAUAACAAACAAACAUAUAAUUCUGCUCUGCUAAUUAAUAAAAAAUGGGAAAAUGGCAUCCAAUCAUGAUGGUAAGUGUUUAUAAAAUGAUUGAUUUGUAAUGUAUUUUCGAUGUCGUAGUUACACUUAUGAUUACUUUUUCACUGCCAGCAUUUGCUCCUUUAGUUCUAAGCUAUACCAAGAAUAAUUCUGGGCAAAUAAUGAUAACAGAACCCCAGCAUUCGUAAUAAAAGCCUGUGGUGGCGGGGGCGUGGUCGAGCAUUCGUCCGGAGAGAGAGAAAGCAGUAAGGGUGCAUUCACCUGAGCCAGAUAAUGAUUAACACCUGUUUCCAACCCUGUUUCCAAUUAUAGUGAGCUUGGGGAGAGCGGCAUAAAAGGGACCACACCAGCACCAAGGGUCAGAGAGAGAGUCAGGGAACAAGAGUCCUGCUAUGAAUCUAAUGUGUAAUUGUGAAGCUGAUGUGUAGUUGUGAAGCUGAUGAUUUAUUGUGAAGCUGUAAGCCCAGAAAGUUGCCAAUUAAAAAGCCUUACCUGUGACUGGAGAGACCCGGUUCCCUGUGUCCUCCUUCCUUCUUGCUGUGAAGUUUGUUACACUGGUGCCAAAACCCGGGAUCAAGUUGGAGGAAGUACGCCCCAUGGAGUCCUCCCAGUUGGCAGAAAUCCUCAAAUCCCUCGCUGGCCUACACCAGACCCACCAACAAUCCCUGCUUGAGCUUAGGCAAGAUCAAGAUCGCCGGUUCUUCGAGAUCCUUUGAGCUCAAGCAGAGGACUGGCAUGCGAACUGGAGCCUCCUCAGCCAGGAGAAAGCCCCGGCCGUGACCCCGGACACCACAUCCUCCAUGCCCCUGCCCACGCUCUUGAAGAUGGGGGUGGAAGAUGAUUCAGAAGCAUUCCUGGACCUCUUUGAGUGCUCCGUGGUGAUCUGGGGCUGGCCGCGCGCCCAUUGGAUGGCCAGACUCAUUCCGUUGCUGUCCAGGGAAGCCCAGCUCACAGCUCAACAAAUGCCAGCAGCUAGCCUCCUGGCUUAUGAUGACCUGAAGAAGUCCAUCCUGCAGCGGGUUGGCCGCAGUCCAGAGCGACAUCGAGGGAGUGAUCGACCAGGUGGUGCUGGAGCAGCUAAUCCAUCGACUACCAAAAGGAACGGCAGAAUGAGUCCAGUGCCACCAUCCGGCGUCGCUGGAGGAAGCUGUCCAAUUGGCGGGGGACCAUAUGGCAGCGUACCUGAGGGCAGAAGAGCCCUCCUACUCUCUCUCCCCUCCCCCUAUGUUUUCCCUGUUCUCUUCUCCCUCCCCCCACCCCUCUCACUCCACGGAGGCAUUGAGUCCCACUGCCGAAGUCGGCUUCCCAUUCAUGGGGGUUUGUUCCCCCCACGACUGCACUGCCCCACCCCCUCAGGUGGAUGUGCCCACCGACAACAUAGCGUCUGGGCCAGCCUGCUGGAGUUGCGGGGAUCCGGGGCACUUCCGGGAUCAAUGCCCUGUGAUGGAGCUGGGGACUGUGGUCCGGAUCCCUGACACUCCACAGGCUGCCCCCGAUCGGGCCGGAGCAUACAGGAUACCGAACAUCUGACAGAUCUUGAUCUUGGAAUUGCACCACCUGGAUUAGACCAUAGCGAGGUUAGACCUAACAGGACAGACGUUUCUCCAGAACUUUUACCGUCCACCCAAGAAUUGGUUGCAGUUACAGAGGCACAGCCCGCACCCAAUGGGCCUGACAGAAGAUGUGAUGAUUGCAGUGACUGCUCUCUACCACCGGUCCUGAAACACACAAGAUUAACUCAUUAAAUGUAUCUGUUGUUUGGAAUGCCCAGUUCCCAAUUCCUCUAGGUUCUUGUGGUGGCAUAGUGACUCAUCUCAAUCUGGGUGGUGGAGGACGAAUCUCAGUUGCCUCCGCAACUGAGAUGGUCAAUCCGUGCAUCAUGUGGCUUAUUGAGCACGUUACCGUGGAGACAUAGCACGCGUGGAGGCUUUACGCUAUUCUCCGCAGCAUCCACACACAACUCACCAUGGGCCCCACCAAGAGCGAGAACCACAUUAUGGCAACCACGAGGAGGUUACCCCAUGUGACUCUACCCUCCCUAGCUACUGGGCCAAUUUGGUUGCUUAGGAGACCGGGCUGGAGUCACUCAGCACGCCCUGGAUUCGAACUUGUGACUCCAGGGCUGGUAGUCAGCGUCUUUACUCACUGAGCUACCCAGGCCCCCAUUUAAUAACUUAAUAAUGCACAUUUAUGUAUCCCCUGAGAUUUUCACAUUCGUUUUUUGAAAUAAGUUUUUGUUUUGUUUAAGGUGAUUAACACUUUUUCAAUAACUGUCCAGUAAGUGAAGGGAUAGUAUUUGGGGGAAAAAAGCUCCCUUGUUGCAGGGGCUUAAUUUGUUUAUAUGUAGAAUAUUUAAGAUUUUAUGAAAUGCCAAAUAUGAUUGAAAUUAACAAGAAAUGAUUAACCCUUUUCUAAACUGGUUAUUUUGAAAAAGCAUUCUUUUAAUGUGUUACUCAAAAAAGCAUCCUGCUAUCUCAAAAGUAUUGGAAUAAGUUGACAAAUUUUGCACUAGAACUAUUGUGCAUUUACCUUCACUAGGCUUGGGAUUGUUGCCAUAUACAUGUAUCAAUAAUCGGAAGAUUUUCCAGAUGAUAAUCGAUAUAUAUCAGGAUUUUUUCAGAUAUAAAUAGGGCUGCUUGAUGCACAGUUGUCUUUGUCUUUUCAAACAUAUUUCUCAAAACAACUGUAUUACCCUGGUGUGAGCACCAGAGUAAAUUAAAGGGGGUCGCACACCGGAUGUGUCUGGCUGACGAAAUGGUGCUUUCUAAAAUUUGAAAUAAUUAUUUUCUACGCACACUUUGUGUCUGUCGGCAGCGCUCAGCUACGUCUCCGGAGGUGCUCAAAAUUCAAUUUGCAUAGUUUUCCAUUAAAUUCAACCCAAAUCAUUAUCAAAGGACAAAGAUUAUUUACUCUUUGUGUCUUUCAUUUAGCCUUCACAAUUUAUUUUCAGUUACAAUUAUGUUUUUUUUUUUUUUUUUUUUGUGGUUUGACAGCUUAAAUGAAAGACCUAUUCAAGGC